GACGAACGCUGGCGGCGUGCCUAAUACAUGCAAGUUGAGCGAUGAAGAUUGGUGCUUGCACCAAUUUGAAGAGCAGCGAACGGGUGAGUAACGCGUGGGGAAUCUGCCUUUGAGCGGGGGACAACAUUUGGAAACGAAUGCUAAUACCGCAUAACAACUUUAAACUUAAGUUUUAAGUUUGAAAGAUGCAAUUGCAUCACUCAAAGAUGAUCCCGCGUUGUAUUAGCUAGUUGGUGAGGUAAAGGCUCACCAAGGCGAUGAUACAUAGCCGACCUGAGAGGGUGAUCGGCCACAUUGGGACUGAGACACGGCCCAAACUCCUACGGGAGGCAGCAGUAGGGAAUCUUCGGCAAUGGACGAAAGUCUGACCGAGCAACGCCGCGUGAGUGAAGAAGGUUUUCGGAUCGUAAAACUCUGUUGGUAGAGAAGAACGUUGGUGAGAGUGGAAAGCUCAUCAAGUGACGGUAACUACCCAGAAAGGGACGGCUAACUACGUG
Molecule: ribosomal RNA, 497 nt
Filed under: uncultured bacterium
Lineage: Bacteria
Description: partial 16S ribosomal RNA
Rfam family: Bacterial small subunit ribosomal RNA
Source: RNAcentral